GAGUCAUUGUAGAAUACAAGGCAUACGGCUCAGUAACGCGUACUCAAUCUAACCUAUGGACGGGAAUAACCUCGGGAAACUGAGAAUAAUGCCCGAUAGAACAUUAUGCCUGGAAUGGUUUAUGUUCCAAAUGAUUUAUCGCCGUAGGAUGGGACUGCGGCCUAUCAGUUUGUUGGUGAGGUAAUGGCCCACCAAGACUAUUACAGGUACGGGCUCUGAGAGGAGUAGCCCGGAGAUGGGUACUGAGACACGGACCCAGGCCCUAUGGGGCGCAGCAGGCGAGAAAACUUUGCAAUGUGCGAAAGCACGACAAGGUUAAUCCGAGUGGUUUCUGCUAAAGAAACCUUUUGUCAGUCCUAGAAACACUGAUGAAUAAGGGGUGGGCAAGUUCUGGUGUCAGCCGCCGCGGUAAAACCAGCACCUCAAGUGGUCAGGAUGAUUAUUGGGCCUAAAGCAUCCGUAGCCGGCUCUGUAAGUUUUCGGUUAAAUCUGUACGCUCAACGUACAGGCUGCCGGGAAUACUGCAGAGCUAGGGAGUGGGAGAGGUAGACGGUACUCGGUAGGAAGGGGUAAAAUCCUUUGAUCUAUUGAUGACCACCUGUGGCGAAGGCGGUCUACCAGAACACGUCCGACGGUGAGGGAUGAAAGCUGGGGGAGCAAACCGGAUUAGAUACCCGGGUAGUCCCAGCUGUAAACUAUGCAAACUCAGUGAUGCAUUGGCUUGUGGCCAAUGCAGUGCUGCAGGGAAGCC
RNAcentral lists this ribosomal RNA (751 nucleotides) under uncultured crenarchaeote. RNAcentral's name for it is "bacterial SSU rRNA". It matches the Rfam family "Archaeal small subunit ribosomal RNA", at positions 55 to 813 of the family's 1478-position model. The record is from RNAcentral. Lineage: Archaea; Thermoproteati; Thermoproteota.